AGAAGAGAGAGAGUACAGCCC
Molecule: microRNA, 21 nt
Filed under: Physcomitrium patens
Lineage: Eukaryota; Viridiplantae; Streptophyta; Bryopsida; Funariales; Funariaceae
Also listed under: 2 other names
Description: ppt-miR529f
Gene: ppt-miR529e
Source: miRBase by way of RNAcentral